Oryctolagus cuniculus (rabbit) is the source of this 12717-nucleotide non-coding RNA. The record is from RefSeq and is a predicted model, not a curated record. Lineage: Eukaryota; Metazoa; Chordata; Mammalia; Lagomorpha; Leporidae.
CCUGAAUAGCACACACUGAGAGUCGGCCACAGCAGCUCUGAUAACUGAGAUGGAUAAGAGACGAAUGUGCCUACAUUAACAGAAAGCUGGAGUUUGGAGCAGAGUUGGGGAGUAAACCCAGAGUCUCAGAUCUGGAAUGUUCCUAAACAACAGUGACAACAAAGGUACUCUAUAUAAAUAUGGUUCUAAUGGACUUACUAAUGGAAUAUUGACUACUCUUUCUUUAAUCUGUCUUCUGUUGGCAAGAUGUUGAUUGCUAUUUAUUGAAUAAUUCCCAGAUUGGUCCACAUGUACCUAAAUUGCUUUUACAAUAUCAUACAUUUUCAAUUACCUUUAAUAAUCCUCAAUAUAAAAUAAAGAAUGGUCCUAUUUUUAAAAAAAAUAUUUAAAAUGACAACAUGCAAACAUAUUUAAUAUCUGUAAGAGGUGCUAUUAACUUCAGGGUUACUCAAUACUUUCCAUCGUUACGAUAUGUUCCUUGAAAAUCACAGAUUGAAGGUUCCAGUGGAUAGGAAAUCUUCAUACCACAUGGAAUGAAUUAUGUCCUAUUCUAUGAUGGUCUGUUGUAAAUAAUAAGCCCAAGAUGGUAAGAUUGGUGUCCUAAAAUUGUAGCGCUCAUCUUUAGCUGGCUAUAUUUGUCACUCCAUGUGAAGAGAUGUUUGAUCCCCGUAAGUCCCUAUUGUACCUCUGAAUACUCAUAUAUCCUCAUAUGUUGGGCUGUUUUGUAACAAACAUAGCAACACAAUUCUCUUGUUGACUGAUGGAACUGCUACAAAUAUACAACCUCUAAAUUUCAGCUUUUAUUAAAUUACAAUGUUGUCCAGUUUCAGAAAAGAAAUAAAAGUAAUCCUCACUGAUAGAUUUUUACUUCUUAUUGCUGGUAGUCUUACGGCCUUUGAAAAAUUGUGUAAGAUGUAAUAACUAUGAUAGGUGGUGUAAUUACAAAGUAUGUAUAAUUUUGGAGGUUUUUGAGUUAAAAUAGUAUAUUUUAAAUUGAGAGGGAGGUAAUUUCAUCUUAGACAAAAGGUUAGUGAACAGAGAGAAAAAUUUUGCUUUUAUUUAUAUUUUACUAGACUAUAAGUUAUUAUACAUUCUAUCAGCAUUUUCUUUUAUUUGUGUUAUAUUAUCUUGUGUGUUCAUAGCAAUUACUAUAAGUUUUGUUUAUUUAUUUUCAGAGAAAUUUUUAAAAAAUAUUUUAUAUUGACAUGUUUUUACUCCCAACAAAACUUUGUAAUUUCAAAGUAUUUGAGGUUAAGACUAGAGGUCAAACUCUCCUCACAUUUUCCUACUGAAUGAAGGAGAGUAUUCUUAUCUGCUUUUGCAGAAAUGACUUUUGCCACAAUUAAGCUUAGCAUAUGAAAUGAGCAUGAGAGACUCAGCUAUUAUUGCCAUUAAUACUCAUUAGAAAUGGUUUGUUCUUAAAAUAUAUGAAUUUCAUUGACUGUUUUGCUUGAUGAAUGAGGCUAAUUUGACAAAAUGUACUUUAAUAAUUUUAGUAUAGUAGACAAUUUCUAUAGACAAUAGAAAAUAAUGUUCUACUCUCUGAUCUCCAGUACCAUGUCUCUAACUGAGAAGAAAUAUAGCAUCCAUAACUUCUCUCUUGAUGGAGAUAAAACCUUAGUAUGAUUUUAAACUUUAUCAUCAAGAACGUCUUACUUAUAACUGAAUUUCCAUAUGAAAUAAUUUUCUUGGUAGAAAAAGAAAUAGGCAAACAUUCAUCAGGUAGAGUGCUUUAUAUUUUCAAUAUGGCUAAAACGUAUGUUCUUUAAUUUUUAUAUAUUUGUGGAUCUUCAAUCUUUCAUUCUCUAACUUUUUUAUUGGUUAAUUUCCUUAUGGAUUGUUAACACGCUUUUCAUCAUUUUGAUGCUUUUAAAUAUUAUGUUUUAUGGCACAGAUUAUGAUUUGUCUUGGCAAAUGCUGCAUGAGUUUGAAAAGAGUGUGUAUUCUGCUACUGUUGUAGAGAACACUCAAUAAAUGUCAUUAGACCAAGUAGAGUGAUAGUGUUAUGCAGCUUAACGAUAUCUUUACUAAGAGGGAGAUUUUGAAGUCUCAAACCAUAAUUGUGGAUUUCUCUGUUUUUCACUUCUGUUCCGUUGAUUUGCCUUAUGUGUUUUGUGGAUAUGCUGUUAAAUAUAUAAAAUGUAAGUACUGUUAUGAUUCUUGGAGAAUUGAUCACUUUGACAUCAUGUAAUUCCUCUAUUUUUUCCUGAUAAAUUUCUUUGCUAUGAAUUCUUCACCAUGUGAUAUUAUAAAACUACACUGGAUAUUUUUUGUUGGCAUGAUGAAUAUUUCUCUUUUAAAUAUUUAAGUCUUUAUAUUUAAAGGAACUUUAUCAUAGAUGACAAAUAUUUUGGUUUUCUUUUUAAUACACUUUUAAAGUCUCUUUUUUUUUUUUUUUUUUUUUUUGACAGGCAGAGUUAGACAGUGAGGGAGCGAGAGACAGAGAGAAAGGUCUUCCUUUCCGUUGGUUCACCCUCCAAUGGCUGCCAAGGCUGGUGUGCUGCGCCGAUCUGAAGCCAGGAGCCAGGUGCUUCCUCCUGGUCUCCCAUGCGGGUGCAGGGCCCAAGCACUUGGGCCAUCCUCCACUGCACUCCCGGGCCACAGCAGAGAGCUGGACUGGAAGAGGAGCAACCGGGACAGAAUCCGGCACUCUGACUGGGACUAGAACCUGGGUACCGGCGCCGCAGGUGGAGGAUGAGUCCAGUAAGCUGCGGCACUGGCCUAACUGGUUAUUUAGGCUAUUACAAUUUAAAGGUUUUGUAGAAUAAUAUUUACCAUGUUUACAGAUUUUUGUUUUAUUCUUUGUUUUCUUCUAUUUUUCUGCUUUUUAAAAAAGUGUUCUUGUUUUUAUUUAUUUGAAAGGUAGAUCAAGAGAAAGAGAAAGAUGGGAGAGAGAGAGAGAGAGAGAGACUGAGCGAGCAAGCAAGCUAUCAUUCAUCUAUUGAUUAAUUCCCCAAACACCUGCAAUAGCAGGUGCUCGGCCAGGUUGAAGCCGGCAGCCAGGAACUCCACCCCGUUCUCCCAAGUAGGUGGUAGGGACUCAUCAUUUGCUGCCUCCUAGAGUCAGCGUUAGUAGGAAACUGAGUCAGAAGUGGAACUGAAACCCAGUGAUUCUAAUAUAGUACAUUGUUUUUAUAUUCCCAUCAUGUCUUCUUGAUCCCUCUUAGGUUUUUCACAUUUUUGCUUAUAUUACAUGUAUAUUGAUAUAUGUUGCUGACUUUUCCCAUUAGAGCAUCAACAUGUUAACUAUUGAAAUUUAAAUUUCAUGUAGUUCCUUUCAUGUCCUAUGAAUCUGGCUAUAAUGCCUGCUUCUCUCCUCAGACUGUUCUUUCUUGUGUCUUUUACAUCUGUUAUAAUUUUUUGCUGAAAUCUAAUUACUGUAUUAAAUAAUAUUCUUUUAAAGAUUUAUUUAUUUUACUUGAAAGAGUUACACAGAGAGAGGAGAGGCAGAUAGAGAGAGAGGUCUUCCAUCCGCUGGUUCACUCCCCAGAUGGCCGCAACGGCCGGAACUGCACUGAUCCGAAACCAGGAGCCAGGAGCUUCUUCCAGGUUUCCCAUGCAGGUACAGGAGCCCAAGGACUUGGGCCAUCUUCUACUGCUAUCCCAGGCCAUAGCAGAGAGCUGGAUUGGAAGUGGAGCAGCUGGGUCUUGAACCGGUGCACAUAUAGGAUGUCAGCGCUUCAGGCCAGGGCGUUAACCAGCUGUGCCACAGCGCUGGCCCCAUAAGUAAUAUUUUAAGCAGGUCUUCAGUGUGAUGCUUCUGGUGUCAGGCUGCAUGUCCCUUCUACUACAGCAGUGAGUGCCAUAGAUUUCCCAUUCUUUUUCUUUGAGUACUCACCCUCAGAGAGGGCCUACACUCUGCAAUUCUUUCUAUUGUCGCUGCAGUGGGGCCCUGUUGAUGGAGCUCUCCUUAGAGGGACAGUUGGUGUUCUGUAACCUUCCAGUUAUAUCUUUACUGGGUCUGUGUCUUGACAUUCGUAAGUGUUCCUCCGAUGAGUUUUCUGUUUGGCUUUCCCGGUUUUUUAUCCUACAGUGUUUCCAAUCUGUUUCCUUGCUGUGUUGAUGGAUUCCUUCACCCUCUUCCAGCUCAAGGACUUUCCCUCAACCUGGAUAAAGCUCCGACAAGGCCUUUUCCCUGGGAUGUCGGUCUUUGUUUGGGGAAGUGCAGGGAGCCCAUUUCAUAGUAAUUAGUCUUCCCAUUCCUUCCCCAGAGACAUAAGGAGAACCUUCUGUUUUUCAUCAUGAUAGCCUUCUGGGGUUCUCUAGGUAAAGCCUACAGAAACGAGGGAUACCACCAAAGCUAGAGCAUGCAGGAAUUUCUUACUCAUAUCCCCAUAAAUAUGAAAAAUUAUCAUUCGUGUGUUCCUGCCAGUUUAUGGCUUCAGCGGCUUCUGUGGUAGUUCAGCAUGUGUGGGCUGUGUCUGCCAUUUCAGAUUUGGAAGUGGUAGUUAUUCCUGUGGCCCAAACUCCCUGAUAUUUAGCUUCGUCAUCUUUGAAGAAUGGGAAUGUAUAUUUUAAGCUCUUUACUUAUCAGAGCUGUAAGGUGAAGUCACCUGUUUUAUUUUAAAUUUGCAUUUCCAUUAGUAUUAUUAGAGUUGAGUGCUUUUCCCAUUCUUAAAAGGGUUUUGUUUCUAUUUUUGUAAAUUCUCUGUUCAUUUUUUUCUUUUCCAGUACAUGUGUUUUUUUCCCAGUUCUCUCUCUCUCUCUCUGUGUGUCUCUGUCUCUCUGCCCCCCCUUCCUCUCUCCUCUCCCCUCUCUUUCUCCUUUUAAAGGUUUAUUUAUUUCAAUGGGCAUAUUUACACACAGAGAGAGAUCUUUCAUGCACUGGUUCACUGCUCAGGUGGCUUUAGUGGCCGGUCUGGGCCAAGCCGAAUCCAGGAGCUUGGAACUCCAUCCAGGUCUCCCACAGGGUUGGCAAGGGCCCAGGCGUUUGGACCAUCUCCUGCUGUUUUCCCAAGCACAUUAUAGGGAGCUGGAUCAGAAGCGGAGCAGUCAGCUUAAACUGGUACUUAUACAGGAUGCCACAUUGCAGGCUGUGGCUUAACCUGCUGUGCCACAAUGCCAGCCCCUCCAGUUCUCUCUUGUUCCACAAAAAUAGCUGUGCGAAUGAGAGGCUGAAACCUGCCAGCUAUCGCAUGUUUCUGAGUUAACUGUGUUCAGCUCAGGAUUUCUGUUUGGUAUUUUAUGCAGUUCCUGGCAUAGGGCGAAUACAGAGCUAAGCCAAAGUCAUCUGAAGACUCGAUUGGACCGAAUGUCCACAGUAGCUCCUUUGCAGGAAUCUUAGCUUGACCCUUGCAUUAGUGUUUUGUUUCUUCCAUAGAAAAUGAGAGCAGGAUCUUCUAUCUGUUGAUUUAUUCCCCAAAUGCCCACAACAGCCAGGGCUAGAUCAGGUGUCUGGCUCUUCCAUGUUGGUGGCCGGGUUUCAAGUAUUUGAGUUUCAAGUAUUUGAGCUAUCUCCUACUGCCUUACAGGGUGUAUGCUAGCAGGAAGCUUGAUCUAAAAUGAAGCUAGGACUUGAAUCUGGUGACUUCAAUAUGGGAUGCAAGGGAGCCCUCCAAGGUUGCCACAUUUCUUUACUUGGUCGCUUACUUCCAAAAAGGGACUCUCCAAAACCAAGUGUUCUAAAAAUGCAGGGAUCUGGAGCUGCCUGGUCAUUUCAGAACUAUGCUGAGAAAGAGCACAACAUAUCUUCUAUACUAUGUAGCUGAAAGCGGCCUCCAUAGGGGCUAUUCAGAGUCCUUGAUAUGAAGACAUCAAAUCAGCAACACUUCUCUUCCUAAGGGAAUCAAAUUGGAGACAAACACAGGAUGGAAACAGAAUAAGACACACAUCUCCAUUUCAGUCACUGCAUAAAAAUUAUCCCAAAUGAAUAGCUCUAAAAACUUCUCAUGAUCUUGUGGAGAGAGUUCUCUCUGAGGCAGUCACAGUGAGGUGGCAUAGGAGACUUCAGUAAUCUGAAUUCUCAACAGAUUUAUCCACCGGAGGUAAUGCACUCACUUGGCUACAACUGAUGCUGGUUGCUGGGAGCUCCGUUUGGGCACUGAGUGGAGAACCUGCCCUUGGAUGCUCCGUGUUUGGGAUUUAUCACAGUGCAGCAGCUGGAUGCUGAGGUAUAUCCUGAGUAUGAGUGCCAAGAAAACUGAGUGUGAAUUCAAAGUUAGCGCAUGAUUUCACCCUAGCUGUCUCAGACUCUCAUUUGAUUUUUAUUUAGUGAAACAGCCUAAGUUCAAGGAAAAGAGAAGUUGAUGUGGGGAUGGGAAAGCUCAUUCAAAAGCAUAUGUAGAUCAGAGCUAUUGUUGCUGUCAUCUUGGCAAAAUAAUAGUAUAAGAUUUAUGUUUUGGUCAUUUUUUUUUGUUAUGGGAUUUUUAUUAUUAUUUUAUAUGAGUUCCAUUUUUAAUGUCCGGGUUCCUAUUACUUCAUAAGCCAUAUUGAAAACUCAAUGACAUAGCAAUGAUUUUUCAUUACCUUUUAUAACUUUUCAAAGUUUUUGUUAUCAUGUGAUGUCAGUCAGAUAACCAGUUACCUGAAUGCAUUUUUCUAGGAGGUUGCCAAAAAUAUGUUUCCUUGUAGUUUCUCAGUAUAGGCAACUUGGACUUCAUCACGUACGCAGCUGGCUAAGUUGCUGAAUAGGAUGCUAGAGACCCUCACUGAAGAGCCAGUUUGAGUUUCAGUACUUCACUCCCAGUCCAGCGCCCUGCUAAUGCACUGACGAAUCAGCAUAUGAGGCUCAAAUGUUUGAGCUCCUGCCACACCCAUGGGAGACCUAGAUGGAGUUUCUGACUCCUGCCUUUGCACUGACCAUGUCUGGCUAUUGCUUCUGUCUGGGGAUUAAACCACUAGAUGAAAGAUUCUCUCUCUCUCUCUCCCUCUUCCUUCUCCUUCUCUCUGCCAUUCUUUCAAAUAAAUAAACAUAUCUUUAAAAAAUAAAAAAUGAAAAAAUAUGGAAAUCACAGUGCUGUAUUUUUUAAAGAUUUAUGUCAUUGCUUGAAAAGGAAAAUUUACCAUAGUUGACCUAGUAAAGAAAUAUGCAGCAAAUUCUGUUCAUCAGAAAUACAGAAUUCUAUGUAAUUAACUGACAAAUACACUAAGGAUACAUUACAUUCAGGAGCUUUUGAGAAGUGGUAGCAUUAUGAUGAGUGUUUGAAGUCUGUUUUAUCACAAAGGAAUAGAUUGGAAAAACCUGAAUACAUUACCUGUCCUGGUAGGCGAUAAAUAAGAUGAACUCCUUAUACAAAAUACCUUUUCUCUCCAGAAAGGUGGGUUUUUACCUGUCUUAUUUGAAUUGCUUUUCUUCACCGACUGUGCCAUCUGUUAUUCUGACACACUGCAUGGGGAAGGGACAUGCAGAGUGCUGCUGUGUGCCUCCAUAGGCACUCUUUCUUUUAUUCACACAGUCACAGUUCAGGAUGCAUCACCCGCACUACUAAACGUCUUUUUUGAAAGUCAGUCAUUUGAAGAGUAGCCUCAAACAACACUUUUUUGAUACACAAAUAACUGAACAAUAUUUUAUUCUAUUUAAUAUUUUUUCCUGCAGAUAUUUUUUAGGUUUUUAUUUAAUGACAGCAUUUUUCAAAGGUACAGCUUUAGGAAUAUAGUGGUUCUUUCCAACAUACCCACUCUCCACCCUGACUCCAAUCCCACCUCCUACUUCCUCUCCCGUCCCUUUCUUCAUCAUGGUUCAUUAUUAGUUUUAUUUUAUGUACAGAGGACCAACUCCAUGUUAAGCACAGAUUUCAACAGUUCGCACCCCCCCCACACACAACAUAUAGAGUACAGUUUGUGAACAAGAUUUGCAGUCAAUUCUCAUAGUAUAACUCAUUAAGGAUGGAGGUCCUAUAUGGGGAAUAAGUGCACAGUGAAUUCUGUUGUUCCUUUAACAAUUAACACUCUUAUUUAUGAUGUCAGUGAUCACUCAAGGCCCUUGCCAUGAGCUGCCAUGGCUAUAGAAGCCUUUUGUGACCAUAGACUCCAUCAGUAUUUGGGCAAGGCCAUAAGCAAAGUGGAAGUUCUCUCUUCCCUUCAGAGAAAAGUACAUCCUUUGAUGGUCCUUUCUUUCCACUGAGUUCUCACAGAGAUCCUUUAUGUUGCGGCCAGUUGGGGAGUGAACCAGUGGAUUGAAGACCUUUUUCUCUGUCUCUCCCUGUCACUGUCUACCUCUCAAAUAAAUAAGUAAAAUCUUAAAAAAAAAAGAAUUAAAAAUGACCAAACUACAAGGUAACUAAAAAUAUGAAUACAUCAUACACACACACACACAGUAUGCAGAGAGACAUGCAAUAAAUCUGCAUACUGAAGGAGUACAAUUAAAUCAACUUCAGAACCAAUGGAAUUAAUCUAUUCUGUUCAAACCAAAGCUAGUGGGAUAGUGGCUGGAGGUGGUCCUUCAAGAAUAAUGGAGUGAGCCAGCGCCGCGGCUCACUAAGCUAAUCCUCCGCCUAGCAGUGCUGGCACACUGGGUUCUAAUCCCAGUCGGGGCGCCGGAUUCUGUCCCGGUUGCCCCUCUUCCAGGCCAGCUCUCUGCUGUGGCCUGGGAGUGCAGUGGAGGAUGGCCCAAGUGCUUGGGCCCUGUACCCCAUGGGAGACCAGGAGAAGCACCUGGCUCCUGGCUUUGGAUCAGCGCGGUGCACCGGCCGCGGCGGCCAUUGGAGGGUGAACCAACGGCAAAGGAAGACCUUUCUCUCUGUCUCUCUCUCUCACUGUCCACUCUGCCUGUUAAAAAAAAUAAUAAUAAUAAUGGAGUGAGCCUUGGUAUGAUUGCUCGUUAAAUGGGUGUACUCUGCUUCAGAAAAAUCAUUAAAUUUAUGAACUUAUGACAUAUUUUCAUGUAUUUGUUAAUUCAAUAAAACAUUAUAAAUACUUUCUGAUCCACUGGAAAAUAAGAUUUGUGCGUUAACAAUCAAAUUAUUGGGACCACUUAAUGGCAAAUGCCCUAAUUCACUUGUCACAACACUUAGGAAGUAACUGCGCAUAUUUCAACAACCCACAUAAAAACAGUACAUUCUUAAUAGAAAUCUUGUGUGAAAUAAUAUAAUACCUCCAUGGAAAUGUUCCAAUUUACAAGGUAUGAAAUACAUCAGUUAUUUCUUUUUCUCAUUCCCCUAACUCUGCUGGAUUUAAGAAUGACUAUAGUCGGUCUUACAGUUUCUUUUGUAAGAUUUAUUUAUUUAUUUUGAAAGCCAGAAUUACAGAGAAAGGGGAGACAGAAAUCAUCCAUCCACUGCUUCACAGUAUUGGGCCAGGCUGAAGCCAUGAGUCAGGAGCCAGGAGCCGUGGGCUCCAUCUGAGUCUCCCUCAUGCGUGGAAGUGGCCCAAAUAUUUGGACUGCCUUGAACUGCUUUCCCAGGUCACUGGCAGGGAGCUGGAUUGGAAGUGGAACAGCUGGGACGUGAACUGGUGCCUAUAUGGGAAACUGGCCUCACAACUGGCGCUACCUGCCAUGCCACAAUGCCGGGUUCUAGCACUAGUAAUUUUAAGGAUGGGUUUGUAUAUUCAUGAGUUCAACUAAACAUGGAUGGGAAAUGUAAAAAUAAAUAAAUAAAUUGCACAUCUGUACUGAACAUGUAUAAGCUUUUUUCCUCGUCAUUAUUCUCUAAUCGAUAUGAUACAGCAACUAAUUAAGUAGCAUUUUUGUUGAACUAAGGAUUGUUAUUAAUCUAGAGAUGAUUUAAAGUAUACAGGAGAAUAUGUGCAAUGUGCAUGUAUGUAUAUGCUACUGUAAAAGGGACUUGACUUGUGCUUCUGUGGGUUUUGGUAUCUGGGGUUACUGGAACAAAUUCCCCUUGGACAAUGCGGAAUGACUUUAUUACUACUUGGGGAAACAAAAGGACUUUGAUUCCAGUAAGUCUACAGUUUCUAUCAAAAAACUGUUUGUGAAGCUGCUUCCAUCAUCCCAUUACUUAAAAUCACAGAAGUUUCACUUUUACCCUUUUAUUUAAUGUCUACAAACUUCAUGCAUUUCAUAAAUACAGAUAUAGGAACAUAGUGAUUCUUCCCACCCUACCUGCACUCCCACCCUUCUUCCUCAUCCCUCUCCUGUUCCCGUUCUUUUUACUAAGAUCUAUUUUCAGUUAGCUUUAUAUACAAACGAUUAACCCUAUACUAAUUAAAGAGCUCAACAAAUAGUAUGAAAAGAAUAACUGCUCCUCAACUUUCAAGACAAGGGCUGUUUAAAGUCAUCGCAUCUCAAAGUGUCAAUUUCACACCUAUAGAUUAGCUUUUAGGUGCUCUAUUGGUUACUACAAUUCAGGGAGAGCAUAUGGUAUUUUUCCUUUUGGGACUGGCUUAUUUAACUAGAAAUAUUUAUACAGAACAAAAAUCUGAUAAAACUUAUGUACAGUUGGCAAAGAUAUUAUUGCUUAAAGUUAUAUGAUCUUUCUUUUCUCCUGAUAAUUAAAAUUAUAUUUUAAGGUGCUCUGGGGUGAUGCUAAAAUCAUUGUAUAUUGUUACUUUUGCAUUUAUGAAAGUUUUCUUUGUGUACUACUGGAGUUUUAAUGAACGUGUGACUAUUUUAAAAUUUAUAUGAGUGAAGUUGAAGGUCUUUUCCUUUGUUUGUUAUUUAUAACCCUUUCCUGUUUUCCUGCUGGGAUAUUUUCUUUUCACUUUUUAUUUCUUGGACUCUUUAUUCUUGGGGCCAUCGUGCCUUUGACUAUAAUGUAAAUUAAAAUAUGUAGAAAUAAGUAAAAUAUUUGAAAAUAAUAAAAUCAUGUCUUGGACACUUGGGGACAAAGCUUUGCUUUUCUAUGUGGUCACAUGUGUGGAUAAUUAUUGGUUUCAGCAUCCUGGACAUACGCUUAUGAUAUUGCACUUUCAAAAGCCGCUUGCCCUGUGAUGCAAAGGUGAAUCAUGUUUACGUCAAGAAACAGAGGCUGUUCUGUGAUGGGCGCUUUUUUCUUUUGUUUGUCUUCCUGGCAGUUAAAAGGAGAGCAUCUGUGAACACAGUCACUCUGCAAAAGGACCUGGGCUUCCUCACAGGCUUGGAAUUACGUGUCCAGUUUUAUUUCUCCUCAGUUGCAGAUUUCAUUAGAACUCCUUACAUCCGUCCCUGAAAUGGAGAAUCGUGGGAACUUCUGUAGCUUUCUUGUGAUUCCUGUAUGCAAAGCCUCAUUUUUUCCUGUGAUUAAGAUAAAGUAGCAUUGUACUUCAUCUUACUGCUUACUAAACAUUAGGUAUGACCAUUAUUAGCAUCAUUAGUGGAAACAUAAUUUCAGCAUUCGUGAGGAGUGGCUAGAGCGUUCCAGAUUGUUAUAGGACAUCCUUCAAUCUGGAAGGAACAUGUGAUAUGCACAGUCUGUGAAAAGCAUGCUAAUCAACCUCAAAGUGAUUUCUUUCAUAUACAAAAGUAUGUUUUGUGCAAUUAUAGGAGUGUAUCACAUGACUUUAUAAAAAGCUAACACUAUUUUCCAGUAGUUUUAGAUUAACAAAAAAGCUGCAAAGAUACCAUGUAUAUUUCACAGCCAGAGUCUCCUACUGCUAACAUCUCACAUUCCUCUGGUACAUUUGUCACAGUAGUAAACUGAUAUUAAUCAUUCUUAAUAUUUAAUAUACUUAUUAAAGUAUAAUUAUUAUUAAGGUUUUAGCAGUCUUUCCUUCAUUAGUUUUUUUUUUUUUUCUAUUCCAGCAUACUACAUGACAUUUAGAUUUUUCUUGGCUAAGGCAAAUCUCAGACUUCAUUUUUUGAUGACCUUGACAGUUUGGAAAAGCGCUGAUCAGGUGAUUUGUAGAAUGGUCCUCAAAUUGGUUUUUUUGUGUGUUAUCUUUCUCUUGGUUGGACCGAGGCUAUGAUGAGGACAACAGAGGUAACGGGUAAUUCGCCUCACGUCAUCCUGAGGUUUCACAUUAGCAGUGUGACUGAUCAGUGUUGAUGCUAACCUUGAUAACUGUCUGAGGUCAUGCUUUCUGGGUUUCUCCCUUGCAAGCCUAGUUUUUACCUUUUUCUUGCUGUAGUUUUUGGAAGCAACUCACUAUGUGACCCUGGUAAGGAGCUGGAAAUUCGGCCCCACCUGCUUGAAAGAUAGUAAACAAGUAAAGUGGAGUUUUCGGCAUGCAAGGUUUUCUCUUUCAUUCAGUUACCAAUGUGUGUAUCAGUACAGUUGUUUGUAUCUUUGUGAUUUAAGAAGUAUACAAUAGGUUUUGAUGUGGCAGUAUUUGUAAAAUUUUUUUUUUGCUUAAAUUAUUGUUAUUUGGCAAUCGGAAGCCCUUGCAAGUUGUCUCCUGUGUCACUCUGACUUAUCUCCAUUCUGUUCAUUUUGAGCAUUUAACUUCUGGCACAAAAUCAUGCUGACGCCUAUGUUUUGUAUACUUGCUACCUCAGGCCUACAAUCAGCCAUUUCUCUGAGGAGUGCUGGGCCUUUGAUUGGACAGUGGUAUCAAAAACCAAGAUCUGAGCACUGCUUCCAUAUCACAUUUUUUACCAAAUAAUGUUUUAUAUCCAUGAAAAAUAGUUGACCUAGUAACUUAUGCCUAAUAAGUUGUUUUGCUGUCGUAGUCUAAUCAAAGUUCUACUGCAAAAUAUACUCAAAUUUUGUCAGAUGGUAAAACUAAAAAGCCACUUCUGUGAGAGGAAAAUCUUGCUCAUUUUAAAGACCAUUAACACAACACCAAUAUAGGCAGGUAUGAAUUGCUAUAGUUGAAACCCUUAAGAAAUCCAACACUUUGGAGGCUGAAGUUGUAGCAUUUUUGGUUAAGCUGCAUCUUGAAACACUCAUCCCACACUGUGCUAGC